AGUUAGGUAGAGACCCCAUAUUGGAUGAGGUCUUUUUAAAAACUCACACUAAGAAGAAGGACAACUCUUGGGUUGAUGAAAGAGCAAAAAAAACAUAUGAAACAUUUCAAGGUAAGUUGCAACAAGCCUCUAAAGGUGGGGAAGCAUCUAGUAGUUGUAGCCAAGUGGUUAAUGCGGAAGCUCGCUUAGACAUGUGGGUCCAAUCUGUUGGGGGGAAGAAUAAAGGGAGGAUCUAUGGUGCUGGAGAUAGAUCCUCGCUUUAUAGACCAGAUAGCAGCAUUUGAGGAGCGAGCAAAAGCGGCAGAACAC
Non-coding RNA from Cicer arietinum (chickpea), 309 nucleotides. The record is from RefSeq and is a predicted model, not a curated record. NCBI's taxonomy places the organism in Eukaryota, Viridiplantae, Streptophyta, Magnoliopsida, Fabales, Fabaceae.